UUAAUUUAUUUCAUAUAUGAUUGUUUAUGAUUAAUCAUAUACACGUUUUUAUUUGUGAUUUUGAUUUGUGUUGCUCAAUUAUUGUUGGAUACUAAAAAAAGUAUUUGUGAUACACAUAUAUUGAGAUUGGUUAACACCCGAAUUUACAAAGACAUUUGAACUAUGGAUGUAAAUGAGUUUGAGGAAGAACUGUUUGCAACAGCCAGCAAGUGAUGCUAAGAUAUGAUGAUUGAAUAUAUCUUCAAUAAUUAAGGGGUAAUUGCAUUGACUAUAUAUAGGGUUUAAGCUAUGAUCAAGAAGCUUUACCUUCAGUUAGCAAGAAGAAACCACUAAUUUCUUCCUUCAAAUUGUUGAAGAACAAUGGAACCUCCAAUUUUGCUUCUACACCACAAAUCAACAAUAACUUAUGUUUCUUCAAAGCGAGAUAAUAGUAACAUUGCUGCUACCCCAACUAGCAGCAACAACAAGCAGGCUUAAUUAUUAAAAGUGAAAUCAAAUUA
This is a non-coding RNA of Arachis ipaensis, 500 nucleotides long. The record is from RefSeq and is a predicted model, not a curated record. NCBI's taxonomy places the organism in Eukaryota, Viridiplantae, Streptophyta, Magnoliopsida, Fabales, Fabaceae.